UAAUAAGUGUUUUAUGGCACUUUUCAAAUCCAUAUCCACCUUGUGUGCAAUGUCAGUCGAUCUUCUUCAUGGAGAUCGACCAAACAUCAACCUUUAUCUUUUAACUCUUUGUCUGAAAAAUAUUAUGAAUAAACAAUUCAAAAUA
This 145-nucleotide unclassified non-coding RNA is filed under the name soil metagenome. RNAcentral describes it as "partial internal transcribed spacer 1". The record is from RNAcentral.